GUGCUCACUUCUACAGCCCAUACACUAAAAAUGGAAUUCAGAGAAGAUUAGCAUGGCCCCUGCACAAAUUUGUGAAGCAUUCCACGUUUUU
Molecule: small nuclear RNA, 91 nt
Filed under: Sciurus vulgaris (Eurasian red squirrel)
Lineage: Eukaryota; Metazoa; Chordata; Mammalia; Rodentia; Sciuridae
Source: RNAcentral